Molecule: ribosomal RNA, 579 nt
Filed under: uncultured bacterium
Lineage: Bacteria
Description: partial 16S ribosomal RNA
Rfam family: Bacterial small subunit ribosomal RNA
Source: RNAcentral
UGGGGAAUUUUGGACAAUGGGCGAAAGCCUGAUCCAGCAAUGCCGCGUGUGUGAAGAAGGCCUUCGGGUUGUAAAGCACUUUUGUCCGGAAAGAAAUCCUUGGCUCUAAUACAGUCGGGGGAUGACGGUACCGGAAGAAUAAGCACCGGCUAACUACGUGCCAACAGCCGCGGUAAUACGUAGGGUGCAAGCGUUAAUCGGAAUUACUGGGCGUAAAGCGUGCGCAGGCGGUUUGCUAAGACCGAUGUGAAAUCCCCGGGCUCAACCUGGGAACUGCAUUGGUGACUGGCAGGCUAGAGUAUGGCAGAGGGGGGUAGAAUUCCACGUGUAGCAGUGAAAUGCGUAGAGAUGUGGAGGAAUACCGAUGGCGAAGGCAGCCCCCUGGGCCAAUACUGACGCUCAUGCACGAAAGCGUGGGGAGCAAACAGGAUUAGAUACCCUGGUAGUCCACGCCCUAAACGAUGUCAACUAGUUGUUGGGGAUUCAUUUCCUUAGUAACGUAGCUAACGCGUGAAGUUGACCGCCUGGGGAGUACGGUCGCAAGAUUAAAACUCAAAGGAAUUGACGGGGUCAUAGCUG